GCCCCAGUAGCUCAACGGAUAGAGCAACAGACUUCUAAUCUGUAGGUUGGGGGUUCGAUUCCCUCCUGGGGUA
This 73-nucleotide transfer RNA is filed under the name Anaerolineaceae bacterium. RNAcentral describes it as "tRNA-Arg". It matches the Rfam family "tRNA". From Rfam's summary of the family: Transfer RNA (tRNA) molecules are approximately 80 nucleotides in length. Their secondary structure includes four short double-helical elements and three loops (D, anti-codon, and T loops). Further hydrogen bonds mediate the characteristic L-shaped molecular structure. tRNAs have two regions of fundamental functional importance: the anti-codon, which is responsible for specific mRNA codon recognition, and the 3' end, to which the tRNAs corresponding amino acid is attached (by aminoacyl-tRNA synthetases). tRNAs cope with the degeneracy of the genetic code in two manners: having more than one tRNA (with a specific anti-codon) for a particular amino acid; and 'wobble' base-pairing, i.e. permitting non-standard base-pairing at the 3rd anti-codon position. RNAcentral also lists the same sequence under 4 other names. Lineage: Bacteria; Bacillati; Chloroflexota; Anaerolineae; Anaerolineales; Anaerolineaceae. The record is from RNAcentral.